RNAcentral lists this ribosomal RNA (468 nucleotides) under uncultured bacterium. RNAcentral describes it as "partial 16S ribosomal RNA". It matches the Rfam family "Bacterial small subunit ribosomal RNA", at positions 28 to 507 of the family's 1533-position model. The record is from RNAcentral.
GACGAACGCUGGCGGCGUGCUUAACACAUGCAAGUCGAACGGAAAGGCCCUGCUUUUGUGGGGUGCUCGAGUGGCGAACGGGUGAGUAACACGUGAGUAACCUGCCCUUGACUUUGGGAUAACUUCAGGAAACUGGGGCUAAUACCGGAUAGGAGCUCCUGCUGCAUGGUGGGGGUUGGAAAGUUCCGGCGGUUGGGGCUGGACUCGCGGCUUAUCAGCUUGUUGGUGGGGUAGUGGCUUACCAAGGCUUUGACGGGUAGCCGGCCUGAGAGGGUGACCGGCCACAUUGGGACUGAGAGACGGCCCAGACUCCUACGGGAGGCAGCAGGGGGGAAUAUUGCACAAUGGGCGGAAGCCUGAUGCAGCAACGCCGCGUGCGGGAUGACGGCCUUCGGGGUGUAAACCGCUUUCGCAUGUGACGAAGCGGGAGUGACGGUAAUGGGUAAAGAAGCACCGGCUAACUACGUG